UACGAAGGGGGCUAGCGUUGCUCGGAAUCACUGGGCGUAAAGGGUGCGUAGGCGGGUCUUUAAGUCAGGGGUGAAAUCCUGGAGCUCAACUCCAGAACUGCCUUUGAUACUGAAGAUCUUGAGUUCGGGAGAGGUGAGUGGAACUGCGAGUGUAGAGGUGAAAUUCGUAGAUAUUCGCAAGAACACCAGUGGCGAAGGCGGCUCACUGGCCCGAUACUGACGCUGAGGCACGAUAGCGUGGGGAUCAAACAGG
RNAcentral lists this ribosomal RNA (253 nucleotides) under uncultured bacterium. RNAcentral describes it as "partial 16S ribosomal RNA". It matches the Rfam family "Bacterial small subunit ribosomal RNA", at positions 524 to 776 of the family's 1533-position model. The record is from RNAcentral.